UGGAUCCAGACUUUGAUUAUGGCUCAGGACGAACGCUGGCGGCGCGCCUAACACAUGCAAGUCGAACGAGCGAGAGAGAGCUUGCUUUCUCGAGCGAGUGGCGAACGGGUGAGUAACGCGUGAGGAACCUGCCUCAAAGGGGGGACAACAGUUGGAAACGACUGCUAAUACCGCAUAAGCCCACGGGUCGGCAUCGACCAGAGGGAAAAGGAGCAAUCCGCUUUGAGAUGGCCUCGCGUCCGAUUAGCUAGUUGGUGAGGUAACGGCCCACCAAGGCGACGAUCGGUAGCCGGACUGAGAGGUUGAACGGCCACAUUGGGACUGAGACACGGCCCAGACUCCUACGGGAGGCAGCAGUGGGGAAUAUUGCACAAUGGGGGAAACCCUGAUGCAGCGACGCCGCGUGGAGGAAGAAGGUCUUCGGAUUGUAAACUCCUGUUGUUGGGGAAGAUAAUGACGGUACCCAACAAGGAAGUGACGGCUAACUACGUGCCAGCAGCCGCGGUAAAACGUAGGUCACAAGCGUUGUCCGGAAUUACUGGGUGUAAAGGGAGCGCAGGCGGGAAGACAAGUUGGAAGUGAAAUCUAUGGGCUCAACCCAUAAACUGCUUUCAAAACUGUUUUUCUUGAGUAGUGCAGAGGUAGGCGGAAUUCCCGGUGUAGCGGUGGAAUGCGUAGAUAUCGGGAGGAACACCAGUGGCGAAGGCGGCCUACUGGGCACCAACUGACGCUGAGGCUCGAAAGUGUGGGUAGCAAACAGGAUUAGAUACCCUGGUAGUCCACACCGUAAACGAUGAUUACUAGGUGUUGGAGGAUUGACCCCUUCAGUGCCGCAGUUAACACAAUAAGUAAUCCACCUGGGGAGUACGACCGCAAGGUUGCAACUCAAAGGAAUUGACGGA
This 902-nucleotide ribosomal RNA is filed under the name uncultured organism. RNAcentral's name for it is "bacterial SSU rRNA". It matches the Rfam family "Bacterial small subunit ribosomal RNA", at positions 1 to 917 of the family's 1533-position model. The record is from RNAcentral.